AGAGCUUCCAGGCUGGUAAACACAUCCACAUGCUGGGAGGGUGGCACACCCCAACUCCGUCAGGACAGAAGCACUUACACACAGGACCCUUCUGGGCCUCGCCCUUAUACACCCCUUCAUCUGCCUGUUCAUCUCUCAAAGUAGAUCAGAAGAGCUAGAAGGGCAUCAGAGGAGGAGGCUCACCAAUUGGAAGAGACAGUCUGGCAGCCGAUAUGCUGACAACCAGGAAAGAGAAAAGAAAGCAGACACCAAAAAAAGCACAGGAAUCUGAUGAGAAAACAGGUUAGAGAGGAUAAAUACAUGCUCUAAAUCAUAAGGACAGAACACCGUACAGCUGGGAUUCAAACUCAGGAGUGUGAUUACAAAUCCCGUGCUCUUUCUACUGCACAGCAAGCUGACUCCCCAACACUAAUAAGCCCUGGAAAUGAAGUAUUAACUGCAAAAGCCGCACUGUGUGGGAAAAUGUGACCUCUUGGCAACAGAACUCAGCGUGACAUGACCAAAGUCGUAAACUUAAAAUCCACAAUUAUAUUUCCCACUUUUUUUUUACUGGCCCUUUCUUUCCUGUGGGUUCAAAAGAAUGAAUGCUUAUUUGUGAUAGUUAAUCCAGGAAUUCAACAAUAUUUACUAAGCAUUCACCUUGUACAA
Molecule: long non-coding RNA, 648 nt
Organism: Felis catus (domestic cat)
Lineage: Eukaryota; Metazoa; Chordata; Mammalia; Carnivora; Felidae
Exons: 3
Source: RefSeq, a predicted model, not a curated record